This 494-nucleotide ribosomal RNA is filed under the name uncultured bacterium. Its description in RNAcentral is "partial 16S ribosomal RNA". It matches the Rfam family "Bacterial small subunit ribosomal RNA", at positions 28 to 507 of the family's 1533-position model. The record is from RNAcentral.
GACGAACGCUGGCGGCGUGCUUAACACAUGCAAGUCGAACGGUGAAGCGCCUUCCUUUUUGGUGGGUGUGGAUGAGUGGCGAACGGGUGAGUAACACGUUAGUAACCUGCCCCCUUCUUCUGGAUAACCGCAUGAAAGUGUGGCUAAUACGGGAUAUUCUGGGUCUGUCGCAUGAUGGGUCUGGGAAAGAUAUUGUUUCGGUGGGGGAUGGGCUCGCGGCCUAUCAGCUUGUUGGUGGGGUGAUGGCCUACCAAGGCGGUGACGGGUAGCCGGCCUGAGAGGGUGGACGGUCACACUGGGACUGAGACACGGCCCAGACUCCUACGGGAGGCAGCAGUGGGGAAUAGUGCACAAUGGGCGCAAGCCUGAUGCAGCGACGCCGCGGGAGGGAUGGAGGCCUUCGGGUUGUGAACCUCUUUCGCCAGUGAAGCAGGCCUGCCUCGUUUGUGGGUGGGUUGACGGUAGCUGGAGAAGAAGCGCCGGCUAACUACGUG